This 72-nucleotide transfer RNA is filed under the name Odocoileus virginianus texanus. It matches the Rfam family "tRNA". From Rfam's summary of the family: Transfer RNA (tRNA) molecules are approximately 80 nucleotides in length. Their secondary structure includes four short double-helical elements and three loops (D, anti-codon, and T loops). Further hydrogen bonds mediate the characteristic L-shaped molecular structure. tRNAs have two regions of fundamental functional importance: the anti-codon, which is responsible for specific mRNA codon recognition, and the 3' end, to which the tRNAs corresponding amino acid is attached (by aminoacyl-tRNA synthetases). tRNAs cope with the degeneracy of the genetic code in two manners: having more than one tRNA (with a specific anti-codon) for a particular amino acid; and 'wobble' base-pairing, i.e. permitting non-standard base-pairing at the 3rd anti-codon position. Lineage: Eukaryota; Metazoa; Chordata; Mammalia; Artiodactyla; Cervidae. RNAcentral also lists the same sequence under 5 other names. The record is from Rfam by way of RNAcentral.
UCCCUGGUGGCUCAGAUGGUAAAGCAUCUGCCUGCAAUACAGGAGACCCAGGUUCAAUCCCUGUGUUGGGAA